GACGAACGCUGGCGGCGUGCUUAACACAUGCAAGUCGAACGGUUAAGGGGUCUGCUUUUGUGGGCCCUGGAUGAGUGGCGAACGGGUGAGUAACACGUGAGUAACCUGUCCCCUUCUUCUGGAUAACCGCAUGAAAGUGUGGCUAAUACGUGAUAUUCUGGGUCUGUCGCAUGAUUGGUCUGGGAAAGAUUGCGCCUUUGGGUGUUUUUGGUGGGGGAUGGGCUCGCGGCCUAUCAGCUUGUUGGUGGGGUGAUGGCCUACCAAGGCGGUGACGGGUAGCCGGCCUGAGAGGGUGGACGGUCACACUGGGACUGAGACACGGCCCAGACUCCUACGGGAGGCAGCAGUGGGGAAUAUUGCACAAUGGGCGCAAGCCUGAUGCAGCGACGCCGCGUGAGGGAUGGAGGCCUUCGGGUUGUAAACCUCUUUCGCCAGUGAAGCAGGCCUGCUCCUUGUGGGUGGGUUGACGGUAGCUGGAUAAGAAGCGCCGGCUAACUACGUG
Molecule: ribosomal RNA, 502 nt
Filed under: uncultured bacterium
Lineage: Bacteria
Description: partial 16S ribosomal RNA
Rfam family: Bacterial small subunit ribosomal RNA
Source: RNAcentral